RNAcentral lists this ribosomal RNA (361 nucleotides) under uncultured bacterium. RNAcentral describes it as "bacterial SSU rRNA". It matches the Rfam family "Bacterial small subunit ribosomal RNA", at positions 152 to 507 of the family's 1533-position model. The record is from RNAcentral.
CGAAAGUUACGCUAAUACCGCAUACGAUCUAAGGAUGAAAGCGGGGGACUCGCAAGAGCCUCGCGCGAUUGGAGCGGCCGAUAUCAGAUUAGGUAGUUGGUGAGGUAAAGGCUCACCAAGCCAACGAUCUGUAGCUGGUCUGAGAGGACGACCAGCCACACUGGAACUGAGACACGGUCCAGACUCCUACGGGAGGCAGCAGUGGGAAUUUUGGACAAUGGACGCAAGUCUGAUCCAGCCAUUCCGCGUGCAGGAUGAAGGCCCUCGGGUUGUAAACUGCUUUUGUACGGAACGAAAAGGUUUGUCUUAAUACGAUGAGCUCAUGACGGUACCGUAAGAAUAAGCACCGGCUAACUACGUG